UACAGAGGUGGCAAGCGUUGUUCGGAUUUACUGGGCGUAAAGGGCGCGUAGGCGGCCACCGCAAGUCGAUUGUGAAAUCUCCGGGCUUAACCCGGAAAGGUCAACCGAUACUGCGGGGCUAGAGUGCAGAAGGGGCAACUGGAAUUCUCGGUGUAGCGGUGAAAUGCGCAGAUAUCGGGAAGAACACCCGUGGCGAAGGCGGCUCUCUGGGACGGUACUGACGCUGAGACGCGAAAGCGUGGGGAGCGAACAGG
This 254-nucleotide ribosomal RNA is filed under the name uncultured bacterium. RNAcentral's name for it is "partial 16S ribosomal RNA". It matches the Rfam family "Bacterial small subunit ribosomal RNA", at positions 524 to 776 of the family's 1533-position model. The record is from RNAcentral.